RNAcentral lists this ribosomal RNA (253 nucleotides) under uncultured bacterium. RNAcentral's name for it is "partial 16S ribosomal RNA". It matches the Rfam family "Bacterial small subunit ribosomal RNA", at positions 524 to 776 of the family's 1533-position model. The record is from RNAcentral.
UACGUAGGUGGCAAGCGUUGUUCGGAAUUAUUGGGCGUAAAGGGCGCGUAGGCGGCUCGUCAAGUCCGGCCUGAAAGCCCCCGGCUCAACCGGGGAGGGUGGCUGGAAACUGGCGGGCUUGAGGGCGAGAGAGGAGGGUGGAAUUCCUGGUGUAGCGGUGAAAUGCGUAGAGAUCAGGAGGAACACCCGUGGCGAAGGCGGCCCUCUGGCUCGACCCUGACGCUGAGGGGCGAAAGCGUGGGGAGCGAACGGG